GUGUGUGUGUGUGUGUGCGUGCGUGCGUGCGUGCGUGCGUGCGUGCGUGCGUGCGUACAAGCAAUCCACUAGACCCUGGAGUGGAUUCUGUGGAGGCGUUGCUUUUGAAUAAUCAAUGCAUGGCUCAAAUUCCACUCACUGAGAGCUCACUGACAUCCCAGUUAAUAAUAAGCAAGAUUUUUUUUUUCUUCAUGUUAACUGGUGUUGGGUUGAGGAGGCGGGGGUGGGGUGUCAAACUGAGUCAAUGGAGUCAUUGUCUGACCCUCGUGUCUUCGUCCGAAAGUCAUCGCUCUCCGAACUCGCGCACCCAGAGCGGCGACGUUUGAAAGGAAAGGAGUUGUUGUGGUUCACUGAGGCUUGUAAUCCUGGAGCGGUCUUGAAACAAGCAGGCGAGAUUUUUAAGGAGGGCUGGAGUCUACCCCAGCUGCUGUGGAGAUGGGAUUGUAACCCGUGGAUUGAACUCAUUCAGAUCCACUGCCUGUGAUAAGACUGGUGACAGGUCCAGGGUGUACCCCGCUACAACAGUCAGGAUAGGCUGCAGGCCCGACCACUACCAGAAUUCCAUAACCAGAAGAAAAUUAAUGGACUUUCUGGAAGAUUUGGAAAGAGUUUGUGUUUAUUUUAGAUAUUAAAACAAAAAUCCUAUAAAAGCAGGAGAAUAUGUUUUUGUUUGUUUGUUUUUUACCAAGCCGUAAGAUGUGAUAGCACCGCUCACAGAUGUUCCUUCCUUGUUUAUGAAUGUAUUAUUUAUCUGGUUGCCGUUAAACCACAAUGAUGGCACUCAUAAAUAAUGAACUGUAUCUGGAUGACUCCGACUGCAGAAUCUCUCAGAUGACGAGGUGAAUGUCGAAACACAAAGCUUUUAGUCAUAGUUGCUUUUCUGAUUGGAAAAAGCUAAACCUACAGCACCAAAUGGCAACAGCAGUUGCCUGAAACUUUGGUAAAGACUCAACAACAAUACAGAGAAAACCCUAAAAAUCAGACAAACCCCUAUGAGCAAGUAUUUGGUGACAGUGGGGAGGAAAAACUCCCUUUUAACAGGAAGAAAAGGCACAAAAGAAAAUUUAGGCCUCUGCCUGUUUUUUAUAGUUGUGUUAAACAUCAACUCAAAGCCUGUUGAUAAGUGUCCAGUGCAGCUGAAGCAAGAACCUGCACGUUUCAUUGACAGGUUAACCAGAAAGGAAGGAACAGCUAACUAACCAGAGUGUGCUGAAGGUUUUGUAAAAUUAAAUAUCUGUAUCAAUAUACAUUUGGAGAGAAAUAUAUCUUUUGUAUUUGCAUUUAAGCAGAUUUAUCUUUCUGUUGGUCAGUAAAUCAGUGGUAGCUAAUUUGAAUACAUUGAUGCUCUGCUGUGGGCAAGGAGCAGAGCAAAGUUAUUUCAAGAAGAAAUGGUCAUUUUUUUUAUAUGUAAAUGUUUGCGUAAGGCGAAACAAUAAAACAUUUAGAGUG
Long non-coding RNA from Astatotilapia calliptera (eastern happy), 1449 nucleotides. NCBI's taxonomy places the organism in Eukaryota, Metazoa, Chordata, Actinopteri, Cichliformes, Cichlidae. The record is from Ensembl.